AUUACGCCGCGCCGGGGCUGCCUGGGCGCCGCCGUUCGAUUUGUCACCGGCCUCGUUCGCUGAUAACAGGCAUUUGUCAUCGCCUUGCCUCCCUGUUAAUGUUAUCAUCUCCUCCCUGACAGCCGCCCUCCGCCGGGGAGCGCCGGCGACAAAGCACAUCCGUCAAGCGAAUAUUUCCACGGCUAAGGGGACAGCACACUGCAAUAAGCCACAUUAAAGCACUUAUGAAGGGUGCAGGCCGAGUGUGUGUGUAUGUGUGUGUGUGUGCGUGUGUGCGUGUGUGUGUGUGUGUAUGCACCGGUGCCAUGAAGCGCGCUGAAGCGUGCGCAGCGUGCGCAUACACAUCCGUAAACACAAGCGCGCAGGAGCGUGUAGCGCGCUUGUCAGUGCCGUAAAAGAGGCGAGGUGGGGGCCGACAGGGAGAGGAAGAGCAGGGAUGUGACAACAUUUAUCCUUUCUGGCUCAGUUGGGGGUUGCAGGGCCAUUCUGCAGGGGCUGACAGAUGGAUCAGCCAGCCUAAAGGCAGUGGGAAGAGAUGAAAAGAGAGAGAAGCACCACUUCCCAUUCUUCAACAUACUGUAUGACUCCCAAAUUUGCCAUACCACGUCACAAAUGUGCAAUCCUCCACAGCCACGAUGAUGGCAGUUUUACACACUGAGAGAACGCUGCUACAGUAUGUCAGAGCAAUGAUUCACUAAAGCUUCUUCACACCAUGACCACACUACACAGUUUGAGGUAAAUGACAAGAGUAGAGAUGGUCAUAACCUCUUUAAGUAACAUUUUAACUCAAAAUGUCUCAUUUACAUGUUGAGGACAGAGUUGCAGUUCUUCAAUAACAAUGAAUAGUCUUAUUCAUUCUGGGAAAUGUAGGUUGGUUGUUGCUCUAUAGAGGUGUAAGACAUUU
This is a long non-coding RNA of Thunnus maccoyii (southern bluefin tuna), 904 nucleotides long. RefSeq lists it as uncharacterized. The transcript is spliced from 2 exons. The record is from RefSeq and is a predicted model, not a curated record. NCBI's taxonomy places the organism in Eukaryota, Metazoa, Chordata, Actinopteri, Scombriformes, Scombridae.